AUUGAACGCUGGCGGCAGGCCUAACACAUGCAAGUCGAGCGGAUGAGAAGAGCUUGCUCUUCGAUUCAGCGGCGGACGGGUGAGUAAUGCCUAGGAAUCUGCCUAUUAGUGGGGGACAACGUUUCGAAAGGAACGCUAAUACCGCAUACGUCCUACGGGAGAAAGCAGGGGACCUUCGGGCCUUGCGCUAAUAGAUGAGCCUAGGUCGGAUUAGCUAGUUGGUGAGGUAAUGGCUCACCAAGGCUACGAUCCGUAACUGGUCUGAGAGGAUGAUCAGUCACACUGGAACUGAGACACGGUCCAGACUCCUACGGGAGGCAGCAGUGGGGAAUAUUGGACAAUGGGCGAAAGCCUGAUCCAGCCAUGCCGCGUGUGUGAAGAAGGUCUUCGGAUUGUAAAGCACUUUAAGUUGGGAGGAAGGGCAGUAACCUAAUACGUUAUUGUUUUGACGUUACCGACAGAAUAAGCACCGGCUAACUCUGUGCCAGC
RNAcentral lists this ribosomal RNA (489 nucleotides) under uncultured bacterium. Its description in RNAcentral is "bacterial SSU rRNA". It matches the Rfam family "Bacterial small subunit ribosomal RNA", at positions 30 to 512 of the family's 1533-position model. The record is from RNAcentral.